Molecule: ribosomal RNA, 587 nt
Filed under: uncultured bacterium
Lineage: Bacteria
Description: bacterial SSU rRNA
Rfam family: Bacterial small subunit ribosomal RNA
Source: RNAcentral
CUCCUACGGGAGGCAGCAGUGGGGAAUUUUGGACAAUGGGCGAAAGCCUGAUCCAGCAAUGCCGCGUGUGUGAAGAAGGCCUUCGGGUUGUAAAGCACUUUUGUCCGGGAAGAAAUGGCUCUGGUUAAUACCUGGGGUCGAUGACGGUACCGGAAGAAUAAGGACCGGCUAACUACGUGCCAGCAGCCGCGGUAAUACGUAGGGUCCAAGCGUUAAUCGGAAUUACUGGGCGUAAAGCGUGCGCAGGCGGUUGUGCAAGACCGAUGUGAAAUCCCCGAGCUUAACUUGGGAAUUGCAUUGGUGACUGCACGGCUAGAGUGUGUCAGAGGGGGGUAGAAUUCCACGUGUAGCAGUGAAAUGCGUAGAGAUGUGGAGGAAUACCGAUGGCGAAGGCAGCCCCCUGGGAUAACACUGACGCUCAUGCACGAAAGCGUGGGGAGCAAACAGGAUUAGAUACCCUGGUAGUCCACGCCCUAAACGAUGUCAACUAGUUGUUGGGGAUUCAUUUCCUUAGUAACGUAGCUAACGCGUGAAGUUGACCGCCUGGGGAGUACGGUCGCAAGAUUAAAACGCAAAGGAAUUGACGG